Long non-coding RNA from Helicoverpa armigera (cotton bollworm), 347 nucleotides. RefSeq lists it as uncharacterized. The transcript is spliced from 3 exons. The record is from RefSeq and is a predicted model, not a curated record. Lineage: Eukaryota; Metazoa; Arthropoda; Insecta; Lepidoptera; Noctuidae.
GAACGGUCGAACAAGAUGAAAGGUUUUGUGCUAUUCCUGGUUUUUGUACUUCUUGUACAUACUUGCGCUGCCCAAAUGAUCGGCAACUCAACAAAUUAUAAUCAAAACGCAUCGGGGAAUUUCAUUACAGGCUCUCAUACCGGCGAAGGUGCAAAAGUGGGCAAUAAGGAGACCAAUGCCCAACAGUCCUGCGGUGUGAUACAAAGGAUUGUGUCAUUAUUCUGGAAUAUUUGUUAAUCAUGACCGAAGAAGAACUUCCCAAAGUGACAAUAUUCUAUGUAAACAAUAUCAAUACAAUUAUAGUACACUAUGUAAUAUUAGUAACGAAACUAUGAAAUAAAUUAUUA